CACACACACACACACACACACACACACACAACCGGAGCGAAGCGUCGCUUUGAACCAGCACCCACGGAACAAAAACAAAACGAGACUCGGGGCCGUUCAGAGACGAUCUGUAUCAUAGUUCCUGAUCUCACCCCCUUUUUUUCAAUCAUCGACGACUUUGUGCUUUGAACUUGGAAAAAUUCCUUCAAAAAAAACAAAAAACUAAACUAAACAAAACUGAACAAUGACUGAAACGCUCCAGAGAGAGAGAAGCACACACGACCCCCCUCCUUCACACCAGUCACAUCUUUUACCCGCUGAGAGGGAGAUGAUGUGGAGUCGAGUGAAGCAUCGUUUGACAGAGCAAAGCACCGACAGUGUGAGCGUGUGCAGAUUGCUCUGCUUUCCAUGGGAACAUUCUGAGGGGGAAAUAAUAAACCCGACAGUCGACUGGACGAAUAAAACGCACCGCCGAGAAAUAACCCUGUUUGCGAAAAGGACCCCCUCGCCCCCCCACCCACAAUUUAUUCCAUCAACAUGCUCCUUUAAAAUCGCUAAUAUUGACAGUGCCGCUUGCCGGGCAGAUCUCCGUGGCGGUGCUGUGAAAUGUGGCAGGCAGACAUAGUUUCUGACCUCUAUAUAGCAGCGUGGAAGGACCUCAGCCGCUGUAAACAACACUGCAAUCAGUGUCCCAUCUGCUCCCAUGUCCCACUUGUGUGGAUGCCUUUUCGCCAUUUCUUUCACCCUCUGCCAAGUGGCUGCCUCAGGACAUCUAACCCACAGAAAAGAGCUCAUUUACCCGAGGAGGAAAGAAGCAAACUAGAUUUUUUCUGGAGUGUGGUUUGCUGACGGGGGAAACUUGGCCGUGGCCGCUGUCGGCAGAGUUGCACAUGGCUCCAAUAUGCAAAAAUAUGCCAUUGUACGAAAACAACAGUUCCAUCGAUCUGAGCUACAACAUUUAAAACAAAACAAACGGUGAUUGACAAAGAUCAUGCAAAUCACCAGCUAUUGAGGCAGCAGUGACAUGUUGUGUUAACCUCUAUUAACCCCUAUACAGGCUAAUGAUGCUUCACAGGGAUUAUAUGAUGACGGCACUUAAGCGACAUACACUCCAAAAGGUAAGUGGUGUGACUGCUGUUCUAGUGGAGCCAUGUCCCUGAGUGGGUCCCUGUUUUAUCUGUACCUUGCAUGAACACAAGGACACACUCUUUCAGAGCUGCCACAGUUAAUAAAUGAAUCGAUUAUUGAUCGAUGAAAUCGAUUAUUGAUCGAUUACUAAAUUAAUCGGCAACAAUUUUGAUAAGCGAUUAAUCGUUCAAGUCGUUUUUAUGUGUGGAAAGGUCAAAAUUCUCUGAUUUCAGCCUCUUAAAUGUGAAUAUUUUCUGGUGUCUUUGCUCCUCUGUGACAGUAAACUAAAUAUAUUUGGUGUGUGGACAAAACAAAACAUCCUCUCGGGGCUUUGGAAAGUCAAUCGACAUUUUUCACCUUUUUAUGACAUUUUAUGGACCAAACCACUAAUCGAUUAAUCGCGAAAAUAAUCCAGGGAUUAAGCGAUUAUGAAAAUAAUCGUUAGUUGCAGUACUACACUCCAUGCUUUUCAACCGGUCGACAGUUGACGGUGGUAACAGAGAAUUGUAGUGAUUAAUCAGUAGUAAACAUUGCAGAUUACCAUGGUUUCUCUUUUUAUUGGCUUUGUAAAUGUUUUAUGAAGGAGAUCCAUUGAUCACACUUUUUUUGUGGUCUUCAAGAAACAUUUUUGUGUGAUCAUGCAGUAAAUCAGUUUUUUCUUAUUGUACAAUAGACAUUUCACAGGUAACCUUCAGGUUCUUUUGUUAGUUUUUUCCUUUACAAUCAAUGUAAAUUAUCG
Scophthalmus maximus (turbot) is the source of this 1846-nucleotide long non-coding RNA. The record is from Ensembl. Lineage: Eukaryota; Metazoa; Chordata; Actinopteri; Pleuronectiformes; Scophthalmidae.